UGUAUUGUGGCGCAGUGGUUGGAGUGUUGGACUGCAACUCUGGAGACCAGGGUUUGAUUCCCAGCUUGGCCA
RNAcentral lists this transfer RNA (72 nucleotides) under Phrynosoma platyrhinos (Desert horned lizard). Its description in RNAcentral is "tRNA-OTHER". The record is from RNAcentral. Lineage: Eukaryota; Metazoa; Chordata; Lepidosauria; Squamata; Phrynosomatidae.